CACAGAUAGUGAGAGGCCAUUCUGCACUGCCAUCUAGUGUUGCUGAACUCCACCACUGAAGUAAUUUAAGUUAUCCAGAAUGGCUCGAAAUGGGGCUGAUUUGAAGUGAUGGUAUCAAAGUGCAGUCAUCCUGAGACUAAUUGAAAGCAGCCCGGUUCGAGAAGCCGUAUACGCCUGCAGUGUGUUCAGCCAGACUGUGGAGAGCGCAGCUGAAGAAACAGCAAACACAAAACUGUGCAGCUACUCUAAGGGGAAGUGAUUGCCCCAUCAUUGGCCCAGGUCUUGUAGUGUUUGGACCCUCGCAGAUGCAGCAGAG
This 316-nucleotide long non-coding RNA is filed under the name Astyanax mexicanus (Mexican tetra). RNAcentral's name for it is "lncRNA (ENSAMXG00005021942.1)". Lineage: Eukaryota; Metazoa; Chordata; Actinopteri; Characiformes; Acestrorhamphidae. The record is from RNAcentral.